This is a non-coding RNA of Erinaceus europaeus (western European hedgehog), 315 nucleotides long. The record is from Rfam. NCBI's taxonomy places the organism in Eukaryota, Metazoa, Chordata, Mammalia, Eulipotyphla, Erinaceidae.
GGAUGUGAGAGCAGUAUAGCUGAGAUAUAUGUCUCCCCAUUAACCACCAGGGUUGAUCUGGCUAAUCUGGCUGGCUAGGUAGGUGUCCCUUUCCUCCUUUACUACUCCACGUGUUCACUUCCUGAAGCUGUACACUUGGUCAAAGAGGACAGCCUUCCCAAAACAGAGACAGAGUGACCUUUAGUUAAGGGUAUAGGGGUAAAAACCUACUAUAACCUUCAAACAAUCUCUCAAGGAGCAGGACAUACUCUAACAGCCUCACUUUAACUUAAUUACUCUUUAAAAUUCAUAUAUUCAAAUACAGUCACAUUCUGU